UACAGAGGGUGCGAGCGUUGUUCGGAAUUACUGGGCGUAAAGCGCACGUAGGCGGCUGUUCAAGUCAGAGGUGAAAGCCCGGAGCUCAACUCCGGAACUGCCUUUGAAACUAGAUAGCUCGAAUCAUGGAGAGGCGAGUGGAAUUCCGAGUGUAGAGGUGAAAUUCGUAGAUAUUCGGAAGAACACCAGUGGCGAAGGCGGCUCGCUGGACAUGUAUUGACGCUGAGGUGCGAAAGCGUGGGGAGCAAACAGG
This 253-nucleotide ribosomal RNA is filed under the name uncultured bacterium. RNAcentral's name for it is "partial 16S ribosomal RNA". It matches the Rfam family "Bacterial small subunit ribosomal RNA", at positions 524 to 776 of the family's 1533-position model. The record is from RNAcentral.